Molecule: ribosomal RNA, 697 nt
Filed under: Mortierella sp. F386
Lineage: Eukaryota; Fungi; Mortierellomycota; Mortierellomycetes; Mortierellales; Mortierellaceae
Description: eukaryotic LSU rRNA
Rfam family: 5.8S ribosomal RNA (bases 156-309)
Source: RNAcentral
AGGAUCAUUCAUAAUAAGUGUUUUAUGGCACUUUUUAAAUCCAUAUCCACCUUGUGUGCAAUGUCAGUCGAUCUUCUUCAUGGAGAUCGGCCAAACAUCAACCUUACCUUUUAACUCUUUGUCUGAAAAAUAUUAUGAAUAAACAAUUCAAAUACAACUUUCAACAACGGAUCUCUUGGCUCUCGCAUCGAUGAAGAACGCAGCGAAAUGCGAUACGUAAUGUGAAUUGCAGAAUUCAGUGAAUCAUCGAAUCUUUGAACGCAUAUUGCGCUCUUUGGUAUUCCGAAGAGCAUGCUUGUUUGAGUAUCAGUAAACACCUCAAAGCCUUUGAUUUUUUUUGAAAGCUUUGGACUUGAGCAAUCCCAACACCAAUCUUUUUUAAGAUGGGCGGCGGGUUGCUUGAAAUGCAGGUGCAGCUGGACAUUCUCCUGAGCUAAAAGCAUAUUCAUUUAGUCCCGUCAAAGGGAUUAUUACUUUUGCUGCAGCUAACAUAAAGGGAGUUUGACCGUAUUGGCUGACUGAUGCAGGAUUUCACAAGGGUCGGCAACGAUUCUUGUUAAACUCGAUCUCAAAUCAAGUAAGACUACCCGCUGAACUUAAGCAUAUCAAUAAGCGGAGGAAAAGAAACUAACAAGGAUUCCCCUAGUAACGGCGAGUGAAGCGGGAUGAGCUCAAAUUUAAAAUCUGGCUGGUUUAC